AUUGAACGCUGGCGGCAGGCCUAACACAUGCAAGUCGAACGAGUGGCGGACGGGUGAGUAAUGUCUGGGAAACUGCCUGAUGGAGGGGGAUAACUACUGGAAACGGUAGCUAAUACCGCAUACCAUCAGAUGUGCCCAGAUGGGAUUAGCUAGUAGGUGGGGUAAUGGCUCACCUAGGCGACGAUCCCUAGCUGGUCUGAGGAUGACCCGCCACACUGGAACUGAGAAACGGUCCAGACUCCUACGGGAGGCGUCAGUGGGGAAUAUGGCACAAGGGGCGAAAGCCUGAUGCAGCCAGGCCGCGGGUUGGAAGAGGGCCUUCGGGUUGUAAAGCACUUUCAGCGGGGAGGCGUUACUCGCAGAAGAAGCACCGGCUAACUCCGUGCCAGCAGCCGCGGUAAUAC
Molecule: ribosomal RNA, 404 nt
Filed under: uncultured bacterium
Lineage: Bacteria
Description: partial 16S ribosomal RNA
Rfam family: Bacterial small subunit ribosomal RNA
Source: RNAcentral